RNAcentral lists this ribosomal RNA (801 nucleotides) under uncultured Staphylococcus sp. Its description in RNAcentral is "bacterial SSU rRNA". It matches the Rfam family "Bacterial small subunit ribosomal RNA", at positions 86 to 874 of the family's 1533-position model. The record is from RNAcentral. Lineage: Bacteria; Bacillati; Bacillota; Bacilli; Caryophanales; Staphylococcaceae.
UUGACGUUAGCGGCGGACGGGUGAGUAACACGUGGGUAACCUACCUAUAAGACUGGGACAACUUCGGGAGACCGGAGCUAAUACCGGAUAAUAUGUUGAACCGCAUGGUUCAAUAGUGAAAGAUGGUUUUGCUAUCACUUAUAGAUGGACCCGCGCCGUAUUAGCUAGUUGGUGAGGUAACGGCUCACCAAGGCAACGAUACGUAGCCGACCUGAGAGGGUGAUCGGCCACACUGGAACUGAGACACGGUCCAGACUCCUACGGGAGGCAGCAGUAGGGAAUCUUCCGCAAUGGGCGAAAGCCUGACGGAGCAACGCCGCGUGAGUGAUGAAGGUCUUAGGAUCGUAAAACUCUGUUAUUAGGGAAGAACAAACGUGUAAGUAACUGUGCACGUCUUGACGGUACCUAAUCAGAAAGCCACGGCUAACUACGUGCCAGCAGCCGCGGUAAUACGUAGGUGGCAAGCGUUAUCCGGAAUUAUUGGGCGUAAAGCGCGCGUAGGCGGUUUUUUAAGUCUGAUGUGAAAGCCCACGGCUCAACCGUGGAGGGUCAUUGGAAACUGGAAAACUUGAGUGCAGAAGAGGAAAGUGGAAUUCCAUGUGUAGCGGUGAAAUGCGCAGAGAUAUGGAGGAACACCAGUGGCGAAGGCGACUUUCUGGUCUGUAACUGACGCUGAUGUGCGAAAGCGUGGGGAUCAAACAGGAUUAGAUACCCUGGUAGUCCACGCCGUAAACGAUGAGUGCUAAGUGUUAGGGGGUUUCCGCCCCUUAGUGCUGCAGCUAACGCAUAAGCACUCCGCCU